Panicum hallii is the source of this 1049-nucleotide long non-coding RNA. RefSeq lists it as uncharacterized. The transcript has 3 exons. Lineage: Eukaryota; Viridiplantae; Streptophyta; Magnoliopsida; Poales; Poaceae. The record is from RefSeq and is a predicted model, not a curated record.
AAACUUUUUGAUGAGACACUGUUUGAAAUCGAGGGAGAAAUCUAAAGAAAGUCGCAGGUUCAGGCGGCAAUUAACUCUGAAACGUGAACCAAACUCGUUGCAUCGGCCGGACUUUGACUGUCCUGAUCUCCAAAUCCUUUGCUCGAAUCACAAAACUUUAAAUACAAGAAUUGCAGCCCUAUCAUCCAUCUACAGUUCCUAGUUUAACUUUUAGACGAACUUGAAUAUAAAAACUUGAGAAAAAUCGAGUUGAACUCGUUGAUCUUGCUGAACUGAAUCGGCCUUCUUCCUGACCGGGCGGAGAGCUUUAGCACCACGCGGCCGUCGGACUCCGGCCACCGACCAGCUCCGCCUGUGGCCGUGCAAGCUCGCCUGUACCCGCUGCGCCUGGCACCUAGACGCCUUCCCAGCUCCUCCUCCCUCUCUUUUUUUCUCUGUUCUUCUUCCUUAGCUGAACAGAGUGGCCGUCGGAGCUCUCCGCCCAAGUCCUUCGGUUUCACCUCCGGCCUCCCUCCACAAAAAACAAAUCGUUGUCGCCAGGACCUUCCCCACAUCCUAGCUUCCUUCCCCACCUACCCUCACCCCACGCCCCACCACCAUCGGCGCUCGUCCCAGCCGCGAGCAGUGGGCGCCGCCCACAGCCGCCUUCCCAGCCUGAGGUGAGCGUCGCCCGUCUCCCCGGCGGCGCGUCAGGCACGGGGCUCGGAAACCCUGGCUGCCUGGCCAGGAGAAAAUGAGGAAGAAGUGAACGAAUGAGGUAGAAGCUCAGCAUUGAUGACAUUGUUGAUAUUUACUUUGCUUGCAAUGGCACUGCGUCAAGAACUGAUAUCCAGCAAACCGUGGCUUUCUGUACAGGUCGAGCGCUUGCACCCUCACCGACAAGCUAAAGCAAGUGUGCAAUCAGAUCAGGACUCAAGUGCAGCUGUUACCAAACACAUAUGACAGUGAAGUGGAGAUGAAGCUGUAACGGGGGGGUCGUCGUCCACCUAAGAACACCCUUAACACUAGUCGAGCUCUGCAUUGCCUUGGUAGCUCGUGGUGUGUCGAUC